GACGUAGGGGGCCAGCGUUGCUCGGAAUUACUGGGCGUAAAGGGUUCGUAGGCGGUGUGGCAAGUCGGAAGUGAAAUCUCAGGGCUUAGCCCUGAGGCUGCUUCUGAAACUGCCGUGCUAGAGUGCGAGAGAGGCGAGUGGAAUUGCAGGUGUAGCGGUGAAAUGCGUAGAUAUCUGCAGGAACACCCGUGGCGAAGGCGGCUGGCUGGAUCGCAACUGACACUGAGGAACGAAAGCUAGGGGAGCAAACAGG
This 253-nucleotide ribosomal RNA is filed under the name uncultured bacterium. RNAcentral's name for it is "partial 16S ribosomal RNA". It matches the Rfam family "Bacterial small subunit ribosomal RNA", at positions 524 to 776 of the family's 1533-position model. The record is from RNAcentral.